CCCAACCCUAACACCCCAGGCAGUUCUUUGGGUCACCUGCUUCUAAAUCUGGCCCAGCUCCCAACAAUCCUGGAAGCCAAUGUAAGAACUCCCAUUAGCUUCAGUGGUUCAGGAUCAAGCCCACAGACCAGUGUCUGAACACCUUACUCCUCCAAUGUGGUGAUCUCUGCCUGGUGUCCGAGAAAAGGCCAAUAUGGAACAAAGCUAAAUACCUAAUGCAUGGUCCAUGAGUGCUGCUGAAUGUACCGCCCAAGACUUUUUCUGCAUGUAGCCUCCCUGAGAGUGCAGGAUAUUUCUGGGAUCCUCCAUCCACUCCUGCAGAACUACGCUCUCCAUAACCACCACUUAAACAUGUCUAUGACUACAAAAGCCAGGACUUAGCCCAUUCCUGGCAAUAUCUUAAAACAAGGAAAAUA
Molecule: long non-coding RNA, 416 nt
Organism: Mauremys reevesii (Reeves's turtle)
Lineage: Eukaryota; Metazoa; Chordata; Testudines; Geoemydidae
Exons: 3
Source: RefSeq, a predicted model, not a curated record